Molecule: long non-coding RNA, 1222 nt
Organism: Daktulosphaira vitifoliae (grape phylloxera)
Lineage: Eukaryota; Metazoa; Arthropoda; Insecta; Hemiptera; Phylloxeridae
Exons: 3
Source: RefSeq, a predicted model, not a curated record
CAACAGUUUUUCAUAGUGUUAAAUAUUCAUGCAUUUUUCAUGAACACAUUAUAAAACUAAAGGUAUUAUUCGAAUAAACUUGAAUAUUUUUGAAUUUCCGAUAGAACGAAGUUAUAGGUAUAGUUUAUGGAGAAAUGUAUUCGUGAAAAUAAAUCACGAACGUGUCUUCAAGUCACGGUAAAUUAUACACGCCUUAAAAAAAUUUAUCUGAAAGAAAUUUAAGCUUACUAAACCGCAAAAAAAUCAAACUAACACGAGUUACUGGCAAGUAGUAAUUGAAUGUAUAGAGGUCGCUUUUGGACUUACUCAACCCUAUUCUAGUUUUAGAGAACUUCUUAUUUUCAGUUGGAUGCGUAGUAAAAUCAAAAUGAGCAAGGCAAUGUUUGACUUAUGAGACAACUAUGAAGGAUGUUAAGCAAUAUUAAUACUCACAAUAUGCUCGGCUGACACUUCAUCGAGAAUGUCGAAGAGCCGUUGUUAUCUUAGAGGAUAAAAGAGUAACAUCGAAAUAUAAGGUAUGGACGAGGCGCAAGACACAAAUAUUUGAUGCAUUAAGAGAGGCACAAAGUAUGAGAUGCAGACAAAGUGCGAAACGCAAGUACUUGAGUUCGAUAGUAGUUGGAGAGGAAAGAGAUAGGUAAAAGCGUCUAGAAUGGAUAAACAAACUCUCAAUGUGAACUUGAAAGCCAAACACAGCAAUAUCCGAGUGCUGGCACUAAUGUCUCACUACAGUUCAUAAGGUGCGUGCCGGAGUAGAUUGACCUCGAUGAUCAGGACCAGUGAUUUUAAGUAUUUAUUGUUCUAUUGCUUCUUUUAUUUAAUUGCCAAAUCAUCAGUCGCCAGUGAUGGAUGUGCUGUCUGAAUUUAUUUUAUUUUUUUAACAAUAUUGAUGACGUGAAAUCAUCAAUAAAUUUGUAAAGAGAAGUACGACUUAAGAACUCAGUUUCUUUCUUAAUACAAAUGUGUAAUAAUAAUUUAUAAACAACACAUUAAUAUGGAAAUCUAUGAAUUGAUAAGAGAAAGCCUUUUUAACUACUCAAGGAAUAUACUUGUGAAAAAGGUUAUCAAUAUUUUACUGAUUUGGUACUUUUGUUAUCAAUGAAAUAGUCUGUUAACUGAUAUUAAGAAAAAUCUGGCGCGGAAAAGUGGUUUUAACGAAAAUAUAUAAAAGAAUAUCAUGAAUUUCAUUAAUCAGAUAAGUUUAUUUUUUAUUAAUGUAUAA